CCUGGCUCAGGACGAACGCUGGCGGCGCGCCUAACACAUGCAAGUCGAACGGAGCUUAAAGAGCUUGCUUUUUGAGCUUAGUGGCGAACGGGUGAGUAACGCGUGAGUAACCUGCCCUGGAGUGGGGGACAACAGUUGGAAACGACUGCUAAUACCGCAUAAGCCCACGGAUUCGCAUGGAUCUGCGGGAAAAGGAUUUAUUCGCUUCAGGAUGGACUCGCGUCCAAUUAGCUAGUUGGUGAGGUAACGGCCCACCAAGGCGAGGAUUGGUAGCCGGACUGAGAGGUUGAACGGCCAUAUUGGGACUGAGACACGGCCCAGACUCCUACGGGAGGCAGCAGUGGGGGAUAUUGCACAAUGGGGGAAACCCUGAUGCAGCGACGCCGCGUGGAGGAAGAAGGUUUUCGGAUUGUAAACUCCUGUCGUUAGGGACGAUAAUGACGGUACCUAACAAGAAAGCACCGGCUAACUACGUGCCAGCAGCCGCGGUAAAACGUAGGGUGCAAGCGUUGUCCGGAAUUACUGGGUGUAAAGGGAGCGCAGGCGGACCGGCAAGUUGGAAGUGAAAACUAUGGGCUCAACCCAUAAAUUGCUUUCAAAACUGCUGGCCUUGAGUAGUGCAGAGGUAGGUGGAAUUCCCGGUGUAGCGGUGGAAUGCGUAGAUAUCGGGAGGAACACCAGUGGCGAAGGCGACCUACUGGGCACCAACUGACGCUGAGGCUCGAAAGCAUGGGUAGCAAACAGGAUUAGAUACCCUGGUAGUCCAUGCCGUAAACGAUGAUUACUAGGUGUUGGAGGAUUGACCCCUUCAGUGCCGCAGUUAAACACAAUAAGUAAUCCACCUUGGGAGUACGACCGCAAGGUUGAAACUCAAAGGAAUUGACGGGGGCCCGCACAAGCAGUGGAGUAUGUGGUUUAAUUCGAAGCAACGCGAAGAACCUUACCAGGUCUUGACAUCCGAUGCAUAGCUUAGAGAUAAGUGAAGUCCUUCGGGACAUCGAGACAGGUGGUGCAUGGUUGUCGUCAGCUCGUGUCGUGAGAUGUUGGGUUAAGUCCCGCAACGAGCGCAACCCUUAUUGCCAGUUACUACGCAAGAGGACUCUGGCGAGACUGCCGUUGACAAAACGGAGGAAGGUGGGGAUGACGUCAAAUCAUCAUGCCCUUUAUGACCUGGGCUACACACGUACUACAAUGGCGUUUAACAAAGAGAAGCAAGACCGCGAGGUGGAGCAAAACUCAAAAACAACGUCUCAGUUCAGAUUGCAGGCUGCAACUCGCCUGCAUGAAGUCGGAAUUGCUAGUAAUCGCGGAUCAGCAUGCCGCGGUGAAUACGUUCCCGGGCCUUGCACUCACCGCCCGUCAA
Molecule: ribosomal RNA, 1363 nt
Filed under: uncultured bacterium
Lineage: Bacteria
Description: bacterial SSU rRNA
Rfam family: Bacterial small subunit ribosomal RNA
Source: RNAcentral